RNAcentral lists this ribosomal RNA (538 nucleotides) under uncultured Pseudomonadota bacterium. Its description in RNAcentral is "bacterial SSU rRNA". It matches the Rfam family "Bacterial small subunit ribosomal RNA", at positions 8 to 522 of the family's 1533-position model. The record is from RNAcentral. Lineage: Bacteria; Pseudomonadati; Pseudomonadota.
AGAGUUUGAUCCUGGCUCAGAACGAACGCUGGCGGCGUGCUUAACACAUGCAAGUCGAACGUGAUUGGAAGCUUGCUUCCAUGAAAGUGGCGCACGGGUGAGUAACGCGUGGAUAACCUGCCCUGGUAUCUGGGAUAACAUCUCGAAAGGGGUGCUAAUACCGGAUAAGCCCACGGACUCUUCGGAGUCUGAGGGAAAAGGUGGCCUCUAUUUAUAAGCUACCGUAUCAGGAUGGGUCCGCGUACCAUUAGCUAGUUGGUAGGGUAAUGGCCUACCAAGGCGACGAUGGUUAGCUGGUCUGAGAGGAUGAUCAGCCACACUGGAACUGAGACACGGUCCAGACUCCUACGGGAGGCAGCAGUGGGGAAUUUUGCGCAAUGGGGGAAACCCUGACGCAGCAACGCCGCGUGAGUGAUGAAGGCUUUCGGGUCGUAAAGCUCUGUGCAGAGGGGAAGAAAUGGAACUGGCUAAUAUCCAGUUUUCUUGACGGUACCCUCAAAGGAAGCACCGGCUAACUUCCGUGCCAGCAGCCGCGGUA